Molecule: ribosomal RNA, 292 nt
Filed under: uncultured bacterium
Lineage: Bacteria
Description: partial 16S ribosomal RNA
Rfam family: Bacterial small subunit ribosomal RNA
Source: RNAcentral
GUGCCAGCAGCCGCGGUAAUACAGAGGGUGCUAGCGUUGUCCGGAAUCACUGGGCGUAAAGGGCGCGUAGGCGGCCCGAUAAGUAGGGGGUGAAAUCUUGCGGCUCAACCGCAAGGCUGCCUUCUAAACUGUCGGGCUGGAGCACGGUAGAGGCAGAUGGAAUUCCCGGUGUAGCGGUGGAAUGCGUAGAGAUCGGGAAGAACACCAGUGGCGAAGGCGGUCUGCUGGGCCGUUGCUGACGCUGAGGCGCGACAGCGUGGGGAGCAAACAGGAUUAGAUACCCCGGUAGUCC